CGCGGGGUGGAGCAGUCUGGUAGCUCGUUGGGCUCAUAACCCAAAGGUCGCAAGUUCGAAUCUUGCUCCCGCUACGA
Molecule: transfer RNA, 77 nt
Filed under: Fidelibacterota bacterium
Lineage: Bacteria; Pseudomonadati; Fidelibacterota
Description: tRNA-Met
Rfam family: tRNA
About the family: Transfer RNA (tRNA) molecules are approximately 80 nucleotides in length.
Source: RNAcentral